AUUGACCACUUCUCUGUGACCGUGGUUGGCACUGAGGUGCUGAGUGUGAGGUCGCGACUGACCUUUGCUGAACUUUUUCUUUUCCUGGAGACUCUAUACUUAGUGUUAGAGAAGGGUGGAGGCCCCGGAUUCUCAUUCCAGAACAAGUCCAGACCAAUACGAUGCAUGCUAGUCAUGCCUUUAUUUAACUGUCGUUUAUAGCAUCAAAUAUUUAAUGAGUGUAUACUAAGUGACAGGUGGUAGAUGAGGACCUGGAGCCCCCAUGUCAUCUACCCCUUCAUCUUCCUGAAACCGGAUGUGGGCUAUGCCGCAAGACAACUCUGACCCAAAGGGAGGUAUGAUCCUGGUACCACAGAAGCCAGGUGUGAUGGUGCAGGCUGCAAUCCCAGCUCUCAGGAGGUGGAAGCACAAAGAUCAGAAGUUGAAGGUAACCGACAGCUAUUGGUCAGCCUGGGUAUAUGAAUGUGUGUGUAGGGGUGGUGGGGAACUGCCAUUUCUUUUAAAAGAUACACACACAAUACAUAUAUAUGUAUUAUAUAUAUACACACACAUAUAUGUAUAUGUAUUAUAUAUACACAUAUAUGUAUAUUUGUAUGUACAUACACACACACAUACAUACAUAUAAAAUGUAUAUGUAUGAGCGGAGCCCACACACAUAUGAGCGGAGCCCAGGUUCUCUGGAAGAGCAGCCAGUGCCCCAUUUCCAGCCCUGGUAUUUGAAAUAGUCAUCAUCCCACUGUUUCC
RNAcentral lists this long non-coding RNA (744 nucleotides) under Rattus norvegicus (Norway rat). Its description in RNAcentral is "long non-coding RNA NONRATT020538". Lineage: Eukaryota; Metazoa; Chordata; Mammalia; Rodentia; Muridae. The record is from RNAcentral.